CAGGGUUGUUUGCUUUUCUUGAUCAGUACAGAAAAUAGGCCAAUUGCUCCUAGACAGUCACACAAUGGGUGCUAACUAUUAGGCCAUGUGACACAAGCAAUUGCUCGUUAAAUAUAUUCGUCAUCUUCUUCUAAGUUUUUUGGAAAAAGAUAUCAUUUUGAUAAUUGCCUUGGUCAUUUUCUUGCCUCAUCAAGCAAGCAUGACUAGUUCAAGGGCA
Molecule: long non-coding RNA, 217 nt
Filed under: Elaeis guineensis (African oil palm)
Lineage: Eukaryota; Viridiplantae; Streptophyta; Magnoliopsida; Arecales; Arecaceae
Description: long non-coding RNA (EGUI_LNC019215)
Source: RNAcentral